UAGUCCACGCUGUAAACGAUGAGAACUAGAUGUCGGAAGGAUUUGCCUUUCGGUGUCGCAGCUAACGCAUUAAGUUCUCCGCCUGGGGAGUACGCCGGCAACGGUAAAACUCAAAGGAAUUGACGGGGACCCGCACAAGCGGUGGAGCAUGUGGUUUAAUUCGAUGCAACGCGAAGAACCUUACCUGCCCUUGACAUCCUCAGAACUUGUUAGAGAUAACUUGGUGCCUUCGGGAAUUGAGUGACAGGUGCUGCAUGGCUGUCGUCAGCCCGUGUCGUGAGAUGUUGGGUUAAGUCCCGCAACGAGCGCAACCCUUGUCCUUAGUUGCCAGCACGUAAUGGUGGGAACUCUAAGGAGACCGCCGGUGACAAACCGGGAGGAAGGUGGGGACGACGUCAAGUCAUCAUGGCCCUUAUGGGGCAGGGGCUACACACGUGCUACAAUGGGUCGGUACAGAGGGGUUGCAAACCCGCAAGGGGGGAGCUAAUCCCACAAAGCCGGGUCGUAGUCCGGGAUCGGGAGUCUGCAACUC
Molecule: ribosomal RNA, 532 nt
Filed under: uncultured bacterium
Lineage: Bacteria
Description: bacterial SSU rRNA
Rfam family: Bacterial small subunit ribosomal RNA
Source: RNAcentral